GACAUAGUGGCUGAAACUUUAGGCGAUAAAUUGUAAAUUUAUAUAUGGUUAUAUAACCCUUUGUCA
RNAcentral lists this transfer RNA (66 nucleotides) under Neojurtina typica. RNAcentral describes it as "tRNA-Tyr". The record is from RNAcentral. Lineage: Eukaryota; Metazoa; Arthropoda; Insecta; Hemiptera; Pentatomidae.